CGGCGGGGUGCUACCAUGCAGUCGAGCGGAUGAAGGGAGCUUGCUCCUCAUUCAGCGGCGGACGGGUGAGUAAUGCCUAGGAAUCUGCCUGGUAGUGGGGGACAGCGUUUCGAAAGGAACGCUAAUACCGCAUACGUCCUACGGGAGAAACAGGGGACCUUGGGACCUUGCGCUAUCAGAUGAGCCUAUGUCGGAUUAUCUAGUUGGUGAGGUAAUGGCUCACCAGGCGACGAUCCGUAGCUGGUCUGAGAGGAUGAUCAGUCACACUGGAACUGAGACACUGACCAGACUCCUACAGGAGGCCGCAGUGGGGAAUAUUGGACAAUGGGAGAAAGCCUGAUCCAGCCAUGCCGCCUGUGCGAAGAAGGGCUUCGGGUUGUAAAGCACUUUAAGUUGGGAGGAGGGGUUGUAGAUUAAUACUCUGCAAUUUUGACGUUACCGACAUAAUAAGCACCGGCUCACUCUGUGCCAGCAUCCGCGGUAAUACAGAGGGUGCAAGCGUUAAUCGGAAUUACUGGACGUAAAGCGCGCGUAGGUGGUUCGUUAAGUUGGUAUGUGAAAUCCCCGGGCUCAACCUGGGAACUGCAUCCAAAACUGGGAGCUAGAGUAUGGUAGAGGGUGGUGGAAUUUCCUGUGUAGCGGUGAAAUGCGUAGAUAUAGGAAGGAACACCAGUGGCGAAGGCGACCACCUGGACUGAUACUGACACUGAGGUGCUGAAGCGUGGGGAGCAAACAGGAUUAGAUACCCUGGUAGUCCACGCCGU
This 764-nucleotide ribosomal RNA is filed under the name Pseudomonas sp. Its description in RNAcentral is "bacterial SSU rRNA". It matches the Rfam family "Bacterial small subunit ribosomal RNA", at positions 40 to 803 of the family's 1533-position model. The record is from RNAcentral. Lineage: Bacteria; Pseudomonadati; Pseudomonadota; Gammaproteobacteria; Pseudomonadales; Pseudomonadaceae.